GUCUACAGUCAUGCCACCCUGAACAAGCCCAAUGUCUGAUCUUGGAAGCUAAGCAGGGUCAGGCCUCGUUAGCACAUGGAUGUAAGACCACCUAGGAAGACCAGGUGCUGUAGGCA
RNAcentral lists this ribosomal RNA (116 nucleotides) under Pteropus alecto (black flying fox). Lineage: Eukaryota; Metazoa; Chordata; Mammalia; Chiroptera; Pteropodidae. The record is from RNAcentral.